UCGAGAAUCUUCCGCAAUGGGGGAAACCCUGACGGAGCGACGCCGCGUGCGGGAAGAAGGCCUUCGGGUUGUAAACCGCUGUCACGGGUUAAGAACAGGCAUGGUGUUAAUAGCUCCAUGCCUUGACAAAGGCCCGGGAGGAAGCCACGGCUAACUUCGUGCCAGCAGCCGCGGUAAGACGAAGGUGGCGACCGUUGUUCGGAAUCACUGGGCAUAAAGAGCUCGUAGGCGGCGCUGUAAGUCGGGUGUGAAAUCCCUCGGCCCAACCGAGGAACUGCGCCCGAAACUGCAGUGCUUGAGGACGGAAGGGGAGCGUGGAAUUCCUGGUGGAGCGGUGAAAUGCGUUGAUAUCAGGAGGAACACCGGCGGCGAAGGCGACGCUCUGGUCCGUUUCUGACGCUG
RNAcentral lists this ribosomal RNA (402 nucleotides) under uncultured bacterium. RNAcentral's name for it is "bacterial SSU rRNA". It matches the Rfam family "Bacterial small subunit ribosomal RNA", at positions 355 to 748 of the family's 1533-position model. The record is from RNAcentral.